RNAcentral lists this ribosomal RNA (950 nucleotides) under Microbacterium arborescens. Its description in RNAcentral is "bacterial SSU rRNA". It matches the Rfam family "Bacterial small subunit ribosomal RNA", at positions 31 to 995 of the family's 1533-position model. The record is from RNAcentral. Lineage: Bacteria; Bacillati; Actinomycetota; Actinomycetes; Micrococcales; Microbacteriaceae.
GGAAAUUGGCGGGGUGCUACCAUGCAAGUCGAACGGUGAAGCAGAGCUUGCUCUGUGGAUCAGUGGCGAACGGGUGAGUAACACGUGAGCAAUCUGCCCCUGACUCUGGGAUAAGCGCUGGAAACGGCGUCUAAUACCGGAUACGAGCUGCGACCGCAUGGUCAGUAGCUGGAAAGAAUUUCGGUCAGGGAUGAGCUCGCGGCCUAUCAGCUUGUUGGUGAGGUAAUGGCUCACCAAGGCGUCGACGGGUAGCCGGCCUGAGAGGGUGACCGGCCACACUGGGACUGAGACACGGCCCAGACUCCUACGGGAGGCAGCAGUGGGGAAUAUUGCACAAUGGGCGCAAGCCUGAUGCAGCAACGCCGCGUGAGGGAUGACGGCCUUCGGGUUGUAAACCUCUUUUAGCAGGGAAGAAGCGAAAGUGACGGUACCUGCAGAAAAAGCGCCGGCUAACUACGUGCCAGCAGCCGCGGUAAUACGUAGGGCGCAAGCGUUAUCCGGAAUUAUUGGGCGUAAAGAGCUCGUAGGCGGUCUGUCGCGUCUGCUGUGAAAACCCGAGGCUCAACCUCGGGCCUGCAGUGGGUACGGGCAGACUAGAGUGCGGUAGGGGAGAUUGGAAUUCCUGGUGUAGCGGUGGAAUGCGCAGAUAUCAGGAGGAACACCGAUGGCGAAGGCAGAUCUCUGGGCCGUAACUGACGCUGAGGAGCGAAAGGGUGGGGAGCAAACAGGCUUAGAUACCCUGGUAGUCCACCCCGUAAACGUUGGGAACUAGUUGUGGGGUCCAUUCCACGGAUUCCGUGACGCAGCUAACGCAUUAAGUUCCCCGCCUGGGGAGUACGGCCGCAAGGCUAAAACUCAAAGGAAUUGACGGGGACCCGCACAAGCGGCGGAGCAUGCGGAUUAAUUCGAUGCAACGCGAAGAACCUUACCAAGGCUUGACAUAUAGAGGA